Molecule: ribosomal RNA, 435 nt
Filed under: uncultured Desulfobulbus sp.
Lineage: Bacteria; Pseudomonadati; Thermodesulfobacteriota; Desulfobulbia; Desulfobulbales; Desulfobulbaceae
Description: bacterial SSU rRNA
Rfam family: Bacterial small subunit ribosomal RNA
Source: RNAcentral
UUCGAAGCAACGCGAAGAACCUUACCAGGCCUUGACAUGCACGAGAACUUUCCGAGAGGAUGGAUUGGUGCCUUCGGGAACUCUGACACAGGUGCUGCAUGGCUGUCGUCAGCUCGUGUCGUGAGAUGUUGGGUUAAGUCCCGCAACGAGCGCAACCCUUGCCUUUAGUUGCCAGCAGUUCGGCUGGGCACUCUAAAGGGACUGCCGGUGUUAAACCGGAGGAAGGUGGGGAUGACGUCAAGUCCUCAUGGCCUUUAUGACCAGGGCUACACACGUACUACAAUGGCCGAUACAAAGGGCAGCGACACUGCGAGGUGAAGCCAAUCCCGUAAAAUCGGUCUCAGUCCGGAUUGGAGUCUGCAACUCGACUCCAUGAAGUUGGAAUCGCUAGUAAUCGUGGAUCAGCAUGCCACGGUGAAUACGUUCCCGGGCCUU